This 7710-nucleotide long non-coding RNA is filed under the name Sorghum bicolor (sorghum). RNAcentral describes it as "long non-coding RNA (SBIC_LNC003199)". Lineage: Eukaryota; Viridiplantae; Streptophyta; Magnoliopsida; Poales; Poaceae. The record is from RNAcentral.
GAUAGUAGCAAGAUGGAGAGCGAAGGAGGAUUAGAGGAGAGGUCGGCCUGUCGGUUCUUCCUCCGGUUGUACUUCGCCAUGAUCAAGCUCUAAUCAAGCUUGCUCAUGGGAUGACUCUGGUAAUCUACUUCUAAUUCAUUAUGCAAUUACUAAUCAUGUAUGUUCUGGUUCACAACUCUUUUGAGUACUUCUAAUCUAUAGGACCCUAUAGGUUAGAGUUGUAGUAUAGGUGUAAGCGUGGUGCUUAGACCUAGAUUACCUGUGGAUAUCCCCUGUCUAGCCGGAUCGUGUGGUAGGCCACGUAGGUGACAGUUACGUUGGUCCCCUGUAGUCCACCUCUCGUUAGCAGGACGGGUAGGGUUUAUCGGCCUAUGGAUAAGCAUCCUUUGUGGUGUACUCUUAUCACGUGGUUCGUCCCAGACAUAGACAUACCCCUUUGAAGUAGAGAAACCAUAGUUAUCCUCUCUAUUCUGCUACCAUCGCCCAUAUACUAGAAUUGCUCUACUCUCUAUUCCCAUAUUACCAACAACUGUUAUCUUACCUUUAAUAUUGUUCUUAUUCGAUUCUACCAUCUUUCUUAUUCACACCUAUUUACUUAUCUUGGUUAAGUUAGAGCGUAGAUCAGUUCUCCCGUUUCCCUGUGGAUACGAUAAAACCUUUAACCGGGUAAAAGCUUCAACGGUAUCCGUGCGCUUGCGGAUUAUCUGUGUGCGUAUAAAUACCAUAGUUCACUCUAGUGCCAUGCUGGGGAUGACAACCUAGUAUUCAAGUGGUGUUAGCAAGUGUCAACAAGCACUUUUGGCGCCGUUGCCGGGGAAACGGUUGCUGAGUUGACUACGAACUAGUUUAAUCAUUUUAUAAAAAAAAAUAAAAUAAAAUAUAACAAAAAAAAUAUAUAUUUUCCUUUUAUCCUUUGCCUCAUCUCUGCUAUUCUUUCUUCUUAUCUAAUCCUUGAUCUCUGGUCUAUUAUGAAUUCAAAGAUGUCUAUCUAUGAAUUUCAUAGACCUAUGGGCACACAUCUCGAACCACCAAAAUCUUUAAAGCCUAUCAUAGCAUCUAGUUUUGAGAUAGACCCCGAAUACAUAGAAUUUAUUCGAAAACAACCUUUCUCAGGAGAAGGUGAGGAAAACCCAUACACACACCUAAGAGAGUUUUAUCGAGUCUGUGACCUCCUUCGCAUAGAAGGAAUGUCCGAUGAGACCCUCAAAUGGAAGCUCUUUCCGUUCUCUUUAACGGGAAAAGCUAGACUUUGGUACAAACUCAAAGUAGGGAGUGUUCAUGGAGAUUGGAAGGAGUUAUAUAGUAGUUUUCUUUCUAAAUAUUUUCCAAUCUCCAAAGUGGUGGAACUUCGGCGUGAGAUUCUUUCUUUUAGACAACUGGAAGAAGAAUCUCUUGGCAAAUCAUGGGACCGCUUUAUUAACCUUACUCUCACUGGCCCAAAACUUUCUAUUCCAGAAGAAGUUCUUCUAAUUCACUUUUUUGAGGGCCUUAGUAGGAAAAAUAAGCAAACCCUUCAUGCGGCCUCUGGAGGAUCUUUCCACCACCUAUCCGCUAGUGAAGCUUGGAAUUUGAUUGAUUUAAUGAGCGGAAAGUCUCCUAGCUUUUAUAUCCCUGAGAAAGAGAAAGAACCAGUUCCUAGACAAGAAGAAGAAGUUUCGAUAGCCAGAUCACAACCACUUCAAUCCCAAACUUUAGCUAUCGAUCCUAAACCAUCAAUACCCCAAAAUUCUCCAAGGGAGGAAGGAAUUCCGACCUUAAAUCUUUUAGAUGCUGAUGGUUUAGACUUCUCGUUCUAUAAGAGACCUUCAAGCAGGGAUAAUUCAAAUCAUUGCAAUAAUGUUUCUCCUGGUUCCUAUCAAGAAGAAGUCGAGGAUGACAUAUCAAGUGAAGGAGAGCUAAGCCAUAUAGACAAUUCUAUCUACUCCCCUUCCAUGUUCACAAGUUCUAAAUCCAUCCUUGACCUUAGAGAUCCCUCUUAUCCCUCUUCUUUUCAGUCUCAUGAUGAUCCUAGCAAUUCACCAAGACAACCAAACCAUAGGAGUCAUGAAGACCAUAAGGAUGGCAUAUCAAGUAAUGCCAUAGAAGGAGAGCUAAGCCAUAUAGAAAAUUCUAACACCUCCCCUAUUUUGAUCACAAGUUCUAAAUGGCUAGAAUGUGUAGAAUGGAUGGAUAAGGAAGAAGCCUUAAUGGGUUCUGACUUUGGCUCAAUUUCAAAUGGUGAGUUCUUGACUCCCUUUGAAGAUGAGAUUCAUCCAACUAUAGAAGAGGACAUAGGUGAGACCAAUCCAGGAGAAACUCCGAACAUUCAGAUUAGAGACGAAGAUAACAUUAAUGAGCAUGGAAUUUAUUUCAUAGACACUUCGUUUACUCCAUGCUCAUAUGCAACAUCUUCCCAAUCUAUUGGUCUCUCCGACAUCACCACACUUGAGAUCUCCAACCCCCUCUUCCUUUCUAUUUAUAAAAACUUUAAAAGGGCGGUUGUCGAUGCAUAUGUCUAUAAUAAAUAUUGCAAAUCUCGUUGAGUUGAUCUAGAUAUAGGUUGGCGUCGGAGGGGAAACCACUUCGCCAACAUAAACUGAUGGUUUCCCAAGGACAAGCUUAGUGUCUUAAAAUAAGCAUUGAUCAGAUCGUAACAUGAGCCUUUAAUUAUUUGCAACAUUACCUUGUGUAUUGAGCAUAUAAGGAUAAUUGUAAAAAAAAAUAUUCCUUCGGGUAUUCUUGUCACUAACCUUUCUAAGAUUGGAGCAAGAAGAUCGGAUGAAUGACAAGCACAAGGUAUGUCCAACCAAUCAUCAUACAACAUUGAAUUAAAUUCAUCCAAACUUGAAUUUUGCAAAAUUCAAGCUUGGUGGAGUACUUUACAUAAAAACAUCCUUUGCCAUGUUGCUAUGCUGGUUGUCCCUACCUUUGAGACAUGCUCAAUUUGUUAAAUACUAAUCACACUACUUCAUCUCCACUUGAGUAAAUCUCUAUAAAUGCUGUCAUGCUACCUUUGUCUAUUUACUAGCAAGUGUUGGUUUGGAAGUACUCGCCAUACUUCCAUUGGCAUUUAAAUUAAGCAUGGUGCUUAGGUUAAAUAGCCUUCCUUAAUCUGAUUAGACAUGGAGUCUAGUUUGGUUAUUGAACUAAAAAAAACUGCUUGAGUAGAUAUUGGUAUAUUUUGUCGGACUAACCCCUGCAGAAAAACUUUCAAUAUCAAUUUGGGAAGUCUUGAGAUAAACUCACAUCAGAGACGAAGAGAGUGACACAGGAAGUUUAACAAUUUGCACAAGAAGGACAUAGCUCACUCAUCAUAGAGAGAUGAUCCAUGGAGGGUGCCACGAACACGAUGCACAACCGCUAAGAAAGGAAAGCUUCCACAAGGUGAUACUGUACCUUCACUUUUCAAGCAAGGUAACAUCCUAAGGUAUUUGACUAUCACUUUUAUAAGCUUCUCCUUGGUUCUGGCGUUCAUAUAAAUAAAAGAGACAAACGUGUAUGAUUUACAACUCUAGAUUAACCAACCCAACUGAUUCAACAUGUUUAGUCCUUUAAUCCUUGUUCUUAGUACUACCUCCAUGAUCUCACACUCCUAAUCAUAUGAGCUAAAAUGUUACACAUUCAAUCAUUGAGAGAUAUAAAGAAAAAGACAUAUACAUAGAUAGAUUAUCUUUCCAUAAGGUUGAGUGAUCUGAUCUGACAAAUGUUAUAAGUGCUACACUCAUGAACUUAUCAUCCAUCAACUUGUCUUGCUCACUAUGCUUAAGAUUAGAGAAGAACAAAUACACUUUUGGUUCUGUUGGUGUUUUCCACCAACAGAGCCCAUGCACUUGAUCUCUGCCUUGUCUCUAUGAGCAGGUACACUACGAGCACAAACACACUGAGCAAGAUACUGCUAACACCGCACUUCGAACUGCUGGGCAAACGAAGAACAUGGGUGACACCGUAUUAAAAGGUGCAGACGUCAAGGUCCGCACCUGAAUCAAAUGACGCACCUGAAGAAUGAACACGAUGAGAAGUCUUGACAAGAAGACUUAAAACAUUGAACCCUCGCCGAAAGGUAAGAUUGGUAGUUAUCCAUAUUUAUCCUUUCUGCAUUCCCUUUUCCAUUUAAUUAUUUACUUUCCUUAAAUAGAUUAUUAGUUAAAUCAUGCUAUCUUGAAAAGAAAAUAAAAAUGUUAAAAAAUACUAAGCCCCAUGUGAGUAUACGAGUGGCAUAAAACUCAUAAGUACCUUCACUGUGGUGGCAUAAAAAUAAAAUAAAUAUUUCUUUUCUACUUUAUAAAAUAAAAAUAUAAAAACAGGGAGUAAUAUUUAAUGAGGAAGCUCAACGUGAUGAAGGCUAGAUAUUUAUGCUAACACUUAAUUAGUUCCACAAGCUUUGUUGUCUAUUUGAGCUCCACAGAAUUUAAGAAUCAAGAAGACUAGCAGACAGAGGACAUUCUAAUCGCUGUCAGAAUACUGCUGACUUUCAAAUACACCUCUGCCACCUGCUAGCUACAUCAAGAGAAAUUACGUCAAAAUUCAGCUUGGAGGAGAGCACCCCCAUUUAUCUCGCUAAGUAUUUCUACCUAUCUUUAUACUUAUAUUAUAUUAGAAUAUUAAAAUACAUAAACUAUGAAAAACCAAAUAAAGAUUUUGUGCUUAUAUAUAUAUCUUUUGCUUAGUGUGUUUAAUAAAUAAAUAAAGUGGCUAUGUUAAUCUGAAUCUUAAUAAUAAAACUCUAGCAUGGAUAUGAUGAAUAGUUGCUCUGCCUAAUUUGCAAAUUUGAAGUUCUCUCUCAAGUUUAGACAUAACUGUUAUAAUUUAAAGCUUGCUCUAGAUCUAAACUUGUGGGAUCAAAACUUGAUCUGAAAUCUAAGUUGUUAACGGAUAUGAUAUGGGAAGGUUGAGCUGUUGUUUAUCUAUUCCUAGAGAUGCUAGAAUUCUGGAGAAUUUUAUCUUUGAAAAAUCUUUAAAAUGUUGCAUGAUGAGUUCCUGUAUGAUGAAAGUUUAAAUUCCUACCACAGCCAUAUAUACAUGCUUGCUAGACUUUGAGCCACACAUUUAUUAUUUACUGCUUAUGAGCAUUGAGUGUGGUCAAGCUGUGUAGACCCUUAGGAGCUUGUCAUGUGGUUAAAUCAAGAUUCACUUGCACGUUCACUCAUAUAUAUGCUACUUCUACUCCGGAAGUACCAUCCACAUAUAUCCAUCCAUUUCCAUCUCCAAAAUCACCUAAAAAUAUUCUAUUCCUAAUUCGGGAGAGAAUAGCCAAAAACAUCUGUGUUUUUCUCUUGUGAAAUAAAUGCUCAAGUUAUCUUGCUACUACCACUUGCUAUAUUAUCUCAAGAGAUGAGUGCUCUGAAAAAAAAGAAAAAAAAAAGAGAAAAGAAAAAAAUAAACGAGGAAAUAAAAAGCGGCAAGUGCCCGGAACCUCGAAAUAAAAGAAAAAGAAGUGAGACGAGAGGUAAAAAUGGACAAGUGUCCGACAGUAGAAUUAGGGGUACAGGAUAAAAGAAGAGAAUCUCAUUCUCCUCAUAAAGUUUCAAAAAGCAAGGAAGGUAUGUAUCCCCUCAAAAGAGCAAAAGUAGAAUUAGACUUUCACCAUUGUUAUCACCAUCAUCACCAUACACUAUUCAUUCGCCACACAUGCAUAUCUUGAUUUGGCUUAUUGAUUUGUUUCUUUGGAUCCAUGGUUUGACUAUACAAUAAAUGUCUUGUAAGUAUGUAUAUUUUAUCUCCCACCUAUGAGCUCCAGAUAUUAAAGCCUUAUUAGAGUAAGGUGAGAGAGAAGACAAUGUCACUAUCCCUUAUACCACAAAUACCACAUAUUUUGAGAGAAGGCAUAUACCAUCACUGCCUUGGUAAGGAACCAGAAAUACCACAAAAGAGAGAUAUGAGAGAGUCAUACAAAGGAAUCUCUGAGUUUUAUUUGGAAAUCUGCAAAAACUCCAGAGCUAUAGCUGAUCAAGAAUAAGCGACAUGGCACUUGACUGGACUGUUCUAUCUUUUAACCACUCAAGACACAAGUGACGGUUACAAGUCCCAUGGUGAAAGGUAAAGUAAGUAAGUUUUAAGUCUUGACAGUUUACUCUAACUCAGAGAUGAGACCUCAUUUAAAAGCAUGUGUACCGUCAAUUUUUAAAGAUAUUGCAACAACUUAUGAUCCAUAGCUGAGUCUAUCCUUCCUCAGGGACGAGCAAGAGGUAAGCUUGGGGGAGUUUGUUGACGGUCCUUAAGUAUCAAAUUUAACUAUCAAAUAAACAAAGAAAAGGAUCCAAAUGAAAUCAACAUCGAGACUUAGUGUUUUAUCUGACAGAAUUCCACGAGUUUUGGUGUUUGUCUAUUUCUGCAGGAGGUUAUCAGGAAAUAAGGAAGAAAGGCCCACACGUCCGGAUUACAUAGAGAUAUCAACGUGUCGCGCAAUUAUCUUACAUCUAGAAGACUCCAGAAGCCACGGGAAGGAAGCGGAGACCGAACGGAGUCAGGGACAGGGCGCCCGCCCAAGUCCCUAGGGCGCCCGCCCACCUUUUUCGGCCAAUCACGCUCAAUCUCGCGGAUUAUGCUCCACCGACCUAAAGGAUCAAGAAUAACCGUUCAAUCAAUGUCGGUUUGAUCCGACGGCCCAGGUUCACUUGAGGGGACUAUAAAACCAGACCCCCUGGCCCCUGGAGGAGGCAACCCCUUGAUCAUUAUUCAUUAUUCAUAGACAGAGCAAAAGCUAGGGUUUAGAGAUGAGAGCUCUCCUCUCUUCUCUAAACUAGAGUAGAUCUAGAUAGUAGCAAGAUGGAGAGCGAAGGAGGAUUAGAGGAGAGGCCGGCCUGUCGGUUCUUCCUCCGGUUGUACUUCGCCAUGAUCAAGCUCUAAUCAAGCUUGCUCAUGGGAUGACUCUGGUAAUCUACUUCUAAUUCAUUAUGCAAUUACUAAUCAUGUAUGUUCUGGUUCACAACUCUUUUGAGUACUUCUAAUCUAUAGGACCCUAUAGGUUAGAGUUGUAGUAUAGGUGUAAGCGUGGUGCUUAGACCUAGAUUACUUGUGGAUAUCCCCUGACUAGCUGGAUCGUGUGGUAGGCCGCGUAGGUGACAGUUACGUUGGUCCCCUGUAGUCCACCUCUCGUUAGCAGGACGGGUAGGGUUUAUUGACCUAUGGAUAAGCAUCCUUUGUGGUGUACUCUUAUCACGUGGUUCGUCCCAGACAUAGACAUACCCCUUUGAAGUAGAGAAACCAUAGUUAUCCUCUCUAUUCUGCUACCAUCGCCCAUAUACUAGAAUUGCUCUACUCUCUAUUCCCAUAUUACCAACAACUGUUAUCUUACCUUUAAUAUUGUUCUUAUUCGAUUCUACCAUCUUUCUUAUUCACACCUAUUUACUUAUCUUGGUUAAGUUAGAGCGUAGAUCAGUUCUCCCGUUUCCCUGUGGAUACGAUAAAACCUUUAACCGGGUAAAAGCUUCAACGGUAUCCGUGCGCUUGCGGAUUAUCUGUGUGCGUAUAAAUACCAUAGUACACUCUAGUGCCAUGCUGGGGAUGACAACCUAGUAUUCAAGUGGUGUUAGCAAGUGUCAACACUGCUACAAGUGCAACAGCCCCAACUAUUGCUUCUUCAGAUACUACUUCCUCUGCACGUAGUAGAGAAAUUAUGUGCCAUAAGUGCCAUGGUCAUGGACAUAUUGAUGCACAGUGUCCUAGUAGGAGGGCCAUGAUUGUGAAUGAGAAUGGUGAAUGGGAAUCUAAAAGUGAUCGUGAGGAAGAAGG